Molecule: unclassified non-coding RNA, 828 nt
Filed under: Hevea brasiliensis (rubber tree)
Lineage: Eukaryota; Viridiplantae; Streptophyta; Magnoliopsida; Malpighiales; Euphorbiaceae
Source: RNAcentral
CUCUAGUCCUCCCAAUUUAGCCGAGUAUGUUGUUCCGAUUGGCUUCUCUCCUCUUCGGUCUGGAUUUGGGUGUCCUUCCCAUACUGGGUUUGGUUUGUUAAUAGUUAUGUUUUGGGUUUUGAGAAGCUCAUCUUGGAGUGUAAUUAUCGAGGGAGACACACAAAUGAUCGAGAUUGAAGAACAGUUCGGUUGUUGCAGCUAUGCAUAGGUUAAUGGUGUUAUGGGUCUAGAAGCUAAUACUUCUCGAUGGGAAGGAGUUAAGCUUGGUGUAGACGUCAGUUUCUCCAGGAUUUUUGCACCUUUUCCUCUUUGCUUGAAGGCUAACCCCAUGGCCAAAAGAAAUUGAGAGGCCAGUAAGUUAAACCACGUCACUCGCCUAGCCUUGUUUGCAAUGGUGAUAGAAAGUCAAUAGCCAUUUUUGGUGUGAGCUCUAAAGGUCCUUGAGUGGUUCACAUAUUCUCUUUGAGUAUUUAAUCGACAGAGUAUCUUCCUUCUCAAUCAGCAUUCCUGCUUGGUGCAGAGAGACGAGUGGUAGACUUGGUUCUCCUUCACCCUAAGGUUUCUAUUUAGAUUUGGGCUACGUCUAUUGUUGUGUUGAGUUGUUGUUGUGUUGAGUUAGUUGUUCUUAACUAGUUUUCGGCCUCCAGUGUUUUUAUGUUUCUAGGCCCAAUCUUGUAAUCUUAUCCUCUGAGCUUUGAUGAUGCAGAAGCAUUUGCAUAAAAAAGAAAAUGAUUUGCAAUGAUGAAUUGAUAGUUGGGCAUAUGGAAAACCAACCAAAAGAAAGGAAGUGCUAAUCAAGAACAAUGAAGCAAGCACUUUGUAAGAAGG